RNAcentral lists this ribosomal RNA (459 nucleotides) under uncultured bacterium. RNAcentral describes it as "partial 16S ribosomal RNA". It matches the Rfam family "Bacterial small subunit ribosomal RNA", at positions 338 to 795 of the family's 1533-position model. The record is from RNAcentral.
CCUACGGGAGGCAGCAGUGAGGAAUAUUGGUCAAUGGCCGGAAGGCUGAACCAGCCAAGCCGCGUGAAGGACGAAGGUGCCAAGCAUUGUAAACUUCUUUUGUCAAGGGACAAAAUCAGGCUCGAGAGCCUGACCGAGGGUACUUGAAGAAAAAGCAUCGGCUAACUCCGUGCCAGCAGCCGCGGUAAUACGGAGGAUGCGAGCGUUAUCCGGAUUUAUUGGGUUUAAAGGGUGCGUAGGCGGACGCUUAAGUCAGCGGUAAAAUUGCGGGGCUCAACCUCGUCGAGCCGUUGAAACUGGGUGCCUUGAGUGGGCGAGAAGUACGCGGAAUGCGUGGUGUAGCGGUGAAAUGCAUAGAUAUUAGGAGGAACACCAGUGGCGAAGGCGGUCUGCUGGACAGCAACUGACGCUGAGGCGCGAAAGCGUGGGGAGCAAACAGGAUUAGAUACCCUGGUAGUC